GCCUCCGUAGCUCAGCGGAUAGAGCAGAGGGUUUCUACCCCUUGUGUCGCGGGUUCGAUUCCUGCCGGAGGCA
This 73-nucleotide transfer RNA is filed under the name Leifsonia sp. Leaf264. RNAcentral's name for it is "tRNA-Arg". It matches the Rfam family "tRNA". From Rfam's summary of the family: Transfer RNA (tRNA) molecules are approximately 80 nucleotides in length. The record is from RNAcentral. RNAcentral also lists the same sequence under 3 other names. Lineage: Bacteria; Bacillati; Actinomycetota; Actinomycetes; Micrococcales; Microbacteriaceae.